RNAcentral lists this long non-coding RNA (390 nucleotides) under Lynx pardinus (Iberian lynx). The record is from RNAcentral. Lineage: Eukaryota; Metazoa; Chordata; Mammalia; Carnivora; Felidae.
AUUAGCUCAGAUACAGUGUUUACUUCCAACUUAAGUUUUUCUUUGUAGCAACUGAUAGACAUCCUCAACUUCCCUGACUCGGCUCUCACUUCUAACUUAGAGGGUUUAAUGGGAUGGUUUAAGUCUAAGGAAGAUGUCCCCAUGGUGCUCACAGCCAAAUUUGCCUAAUUCAUUGCUGUUGCUCUGAGGUCAGCCACCAGCUACCAAAUCUUGCAAAUUUGCAAAGAAUUGAAAAAAUCUCUGGAGAAGAAAGUCAAGGAAAAUAAAUGUGUCCUCCCAUGGCCCUUGCUCACUCGAUCUGACAAGUGUAGAUUAUGUUGUUUGAAAUACUUUCCAGUCUGCCAAGAAGUGUCCCCUAGUGGAGUCUAUGGAGGGAAUAAAGUCCUUGAA